Molecule: non-coding RNA, 1022 nt
Organism: Solanum lycopersicum (tomato)
Lineage: Eukaryota; Viridiplantae; Streptophyta; Magnoliopsida; Solanales; Solanaceae
Source: RefSeq, a predicted model, not a curated record
UUUUAUCUCACAAUACAUUUUCUUCUAUUCCUUUAACCUUUGUAUAAUCUUUCCAAUAGUUGCCACAAUUUUUGGCUACAAAAAUCGAUCAAUCACAAUCCAUUUCAAGAAUUCCACUUGAAAAAGGAAAAAAAAAAUAAUAUGUCAAAUUUUGAUAGAGGCAAAGAAUUGGUUGAGGGAUCAUCACCUGCAACGCCUAGUCGAUAUGAGUCUCAAAAACGUCGUGACUGGAAUACGUUUGGUCAGUACCUAAGGAAUCAAAGACCACCCGUUUCCAUUUCCCAAUGCAAUAGCAACCACGUGUUGGAGUUCCUUAGGUACCUAGACCAAUUUGGGAAGACUAAGGUUCAUUUGCAAGGUUGUAUCUUUUAUGGUCAACCCGAGCCCCCGGCUCCCUGUACUUGUCCGUUAAGACAAGCCUGGGGGAGCCUGGAUGCUCUCAUCGGGCGGCUCAGAGCCGCCUAUGAGGAGAACGGUGGCUCCCCCGAGACAAACCCUUUCGCGAGCGGCGCGAUUAGGGUGUAUCUAAGGGAAGUGAAAGAGUGUCAAGCAAAAGCAAGAGGAAUUCCGUACAAGAAGAAAAAGAAGAAGGCUAGUGAGAGCAAAGGAGAUGAUGAUUGCACUUCUUCUCACCCAUUUUCUUGAUCCAAAAAAUGAAAAGUGAUGAAUUGUGUCUUCAUGAGAAGGUUAUUGCUGAACACUUAAGGGAUUUGCUAUAUAUAUAGCUCUGGAAGAAUUAUGUUUCAUAUUUAUUAAGUCAUCAUUUGUUGUUUUUUUUAUAUAUAUAAGUGCCUUGAUUUCCUUUUUUUCUGCUAAUUAAUUAAUUAGCAGUCAUGUUCAAUCAGAGGCAUUUUCUUCAAAUUAUUACUGCUUAGUAAUUUAAAUAUUCUACUGUUCUUUCCCAUUAUAUAUUUCUCAGUUGUUUGUGAAUCCUAAACUAGUUCUAUUGUAAGAUGAUUAUUAUAAACUCUUUUUGUACAAUUAAGUGAUCAUUAAUUUGAAUCCAAACCCUACUGUACGUA